GGAGAGGUGGCAGAGUGGUUGAAUGCGGCGGUCUCGAAAACCGCUUCAGGUGCAAGCCUGACGAGGGUUCGAAUCCCUCCCUCUCCG
Molecule: transfer RNA, 87 nt
Filed under: Geitlerinema sp. PCC 7407
Lineage: Bacteria; Bacillati; Cyanobacteriota; Cyanophyceae; Geitlerinematales; Geitlerinemataceae
Also listed under: 1 other name
Description: tRNA-Ser (CGA) (tRNA-Ser-CGA-1-1)
Rfam family: tRNA
About the family: Transfer RNA (tRNA) molecules are approximately 80 nucleotides in length.
Source: Rfam by way of RNAcentral